AACGAACGCUGGCGGCGCGUCUUAAGCAUGCAAGUCGAACGGCAAGAGAGGAGCUUGCUUCUCUCCUAGAGUGGCGGACUGGUGAGGAACACGUGGGUAAUCUACCCUUAAGUUGGGGAUAGCUGCUAGAAAUAGCAGGUAAUACCGAAUACACUCAAAUUUUCACAAGAAGAAUUGAGGAAAGAGGCUACGGCCUCGCUUGAGGAUGAGCUUGCGUCCCAUUAGCUAGUUGGUGAGGUAAAGGCCCACCAAGGCAACGAUGGGUAUCCGGCCUGAGAGGGUGAUCGGACACAUUGGGACUGAGAUACGGCCCAAACUCCUACGGGAGGCAGCAGCUAAGAAUAUUCCGCAAUGGACGAAAGUCUGACGGAGCGACGCCGCGUGGAUGAAGAAGGCUGAAAAGUUGUAAAAUCCUUUUGUUGAUGAAGAAUAAGGAUAAGAGGGAAUGCUUAUCUGAUGACGGUAAUCAGCGAAUAAGCCCCGGCUAAUUACGUGCCAGCAGCCGCGGUAACACGUAAGGGGCGAGCGUUGUUCGGAAUUAUUGGGCGUAAAGGGCAUGCAGGCGGUUGUGUAAGCCUGAUGUGAAAUCCUAGAGCUUAACUCUAGAAUAGCAUUGGGUACUGCACAACUUGAAUUACGGAAGGGAAACUGGAAUUCCAAGUGUAGGGGUGGAAUCUGUAGAUAUUUGGAAGAACACCGGUGGCGAAGGCGGGUUUCUGGCCGAUAAUUGACGCUGAGAUGCGAAAGUGUGGGGAUCAAACAGGAUUAGAUACCCUGGUAGUCCACACCGUAAACGAUGUACACUAGGUGUUGGGGUACGAACUUCAGUGCCAAAGCAAACGCGUUAAGUGUACCGCCUGGGGAGUAUGCCCGCAAGGGUGAAUCUCAAAGGAAUUGACUGGGGCCCGCACAAGCGGUGGAGCAUGUGGUUUAAUUCGAUGGUACGCGAGGAACUUACCUGGGUUUGACAUCUAGUGGAAUGUCUUACAGAUAAGGCAGUGUAGCAAUACACCGCUAGACGGGUGCUGCAUGGCUGUCGUCAGCUCGUGCGGUGAGGUGUGGGGUUAAGUCCGCACCGAGCGCACCCCUUACUGCAGUUACUAACGGAAUGCCUGAGGACUUUGGCGGAACUGCCG
Molecule: ribosomal RNA, 1136 nt
Filed under: Treponema sp. oral taxon G48
Lineage: Bacteria; Pseudomonadati; Spirochaetota; Spirochaetia; Treponematales; Treponemataceae
Description: bacterial SSU rRNA
Rfam family: Bacterial small subunit ribosomal RNA
Source: RNAcentral